This 492-nucleotide ribosomal RNA is filed under the name uncultured bacterium. RNAcentral describes it as "partial 16S ribosomal RNA". It matches the Rfam family "Bacterial small subunit ribosomal RNA", at positions 29 to 507 of the family's 1533-position model. The record is from RNAcentral.
AGUGAACGCUGGCGGUAGGCCUAACACAUGCAAGUCGAACGGCAGCACAGUAAGAGCUUGCUCUUACGGGUGGCGAGUGGCGGACGGGUGAGGAAUACAUCGGAAUCUACUUUUUCGUGGGGGAUAACGUAGGGAAACUUACGCUAAUACCGCAUACGACCUACGGGUGAAAGCAGGGGAUCUUCGGACCUUGCGCGAUUGAAUGAGCCGAUGUCGGAUUAGCUAGUUGGCGGGGUAAAGGCCCACCAAGGCGACGAUCCGUAGCUGGUCUGAGAGGAUGAUCAGCCCCACUGGAACUGAGACACGGUCCAGACUCCUACGGGAGGCAGCAGUGGGGAAUAUUGGACAAUGGGCGCAAGCCUGAUCCAGCCAUACCGCGUGGGUGAAGAAGGCCUUCGGGUUGUAAAGCCCUUUUGUUGGGAAAGAAAAGCAGCAGGUUAAUACCCCGCUGUCCUGACGGUACCCAAAGAACAAGCACCGGCUAACUUCGUG